UAUAUGUGAUUUUUCUGAUAUAUAACUGUG
RNAcentral lists this non-coding RNA (30 nucleotides) under Mus musculus (house mouse). Lineage: Eukaryota; Metazoa; Chordata; Mammalia; Rodentia; Muridae. The record is from RNAcentral.